Molecule: unclassified non-coding RNA, 379 nt
Filed under: uncultured bacterium
Lineage: Bacteria
Description: contains 16S-23S intergenic spacer region
Source: RNAcentral
UCGCGGCUUAUCACCGGCAGUCCCCUUAGAGUGCCCAACUUAAUGAUGGCAACUAAAGGCAAGGGUUGCGCUCGUUGCGGGACUUAACCCAACAUCUCACGACACGAGCUGACGACAGCCAUGCAGCACCUGAACCAGAGGUCCCCGAAGGGAAGACCCUAUUUCUAGGGCUGUCCUCUGUUGUCUAGCCCGGGUAAGGUUCUUCGCGUUGCGUCGAAUUGAACCACAUGCUCCGCUGCUUGCGCGGGUCCCCGUCAAUUCCUUUGAGUUUUAGCCUUGCGGCCGUACUCCCCAGGCGGGGCACUUAAUGCGUUAGCUCCGGCACGGGAGGAGUCGACACCUCCCACACCUAGUGCCCAUCGUUUACGGCGUGGACUAC